Molecule: ribosomal RNA, 1291 nt
Filed under: uncultured bacterium
Lineage: Bacteria
Description: bacterial SSU rRNA
Rfam family: Bacterial small subunit ribosomal RNA
Source: RNAcentral
GAACGAUGAUGCCAGCUUGCUGGUGGAUUAGUGGCGAACGGGUGAGUAACACGUGAGUAACCUGCCCUUAACUCUGGGAUAAGCCUGGGAAACUGGGUCUAAUACCGGAUAUGACUCCUCAUCGCAUGGUGGGGGGUGGAAAGCUUUAUUGUGGUUUUGGAUGGACUCGCGGCCUAUCAGCUUGUUGGUGAGGUAAUGGCUCACCAAGGCGACNACGGGUAGCCGGCCUGAGAGGGUGACCGGCCACACUGGGACUGAGACACGGCCCANACUCCUACGGGAGGCAGCAGUGGGGAAUAUUGCACAAUGGGCGAAAGCCUGAUGCAGCGACGCCGCGUGAGGGAUGACGGCCUUCGGGUUGUAAACCUCUUUCAGUAGGGAAGAAGCGAAAGUGACGGUACCUGCAGAAGAAGCGCCGGCUAACUACGUGCCAGCAGCCGCGGUAAUACGUAGGGCGCAAGCGUUAUCCGGAAUUAUUGGGCGUAAAGAGCUCGUAGGCGGUUUGUCGCGUCUGCCGUGAAAGUCCGGGGCUCAACUCCGGAUCUGCGGUGGGUACGGGCAGACUAGAGUGAUGUAGGGGAGACUGGAAUUCCUGGUGUAGCGGUGAAAUGCGCAGAUAUCAGGAGGAACACCGAUGGCGAAGGCAGGUCUCUGGGCAUUAACUGACGCUGAGGAGCGAAAGCAUGGGGAGCGAACAGGAUUAGAUACCCUGGUAGUCCAUGCCGUAAACGUUGGGCACUAGGUGUGGGGGACAUUCCACGUUUUCCGCGCCGUAGCUAACGCAUUAAGUGCCCCGCCUGGGGAGUACGGCCGCAAGGCUAAAACUCAAAGGAAUUGACGGGGGCCCGCACAAGCGGCGGAGCAUGCGGAUUAAUUCGAUGCAACGCGAAGAACCUUACCAAGGCUUGACAUGAACCGGAAAUACCUGGAAACAGGUGCCCCGCUUGCGGUCGGUUUACAGGUGGUGCAUGGUUGUCGUCAGCUCGUGUCGUGAGAUGUUGGGUUAAGUCCCGCAACGAGCGCAACCCUCGUUCUAUGUUGCCAGCGCGUUAUGGCGGGGACUCAUAGGAGACUGCCGGGGUCAACUCGGAGGAAGGUGGGGACGACGUCAAAUCAUCAUGCCCCUUAUGUCUUGGGCUUCACGCAUGCUACAAUGGCCGGUACAAAGGGUUGCGAUACUGUGAGGUGGAGCUAAUCCCAAAAAGCCGGUCUCAGUUCGGAUUGGGGUCUGCAACUCGACCCCAUGAAGUCGGAGUCGCUAGUAAUCGCAGAUCAGCAACGCUGCGGUGAA